GUCUUUUUGAUUAUAAUUUAAAGUCUGGCCUGCCCACUGAUUUUUAAAGGGCCGCAGUAUUUUAACUGUGCAAAGGUAGCAUAAUAAUUAGUUUCUUAAUUAGAAGCUUGUAUGAAUGGUUAAACGAGAAAUUAACUGUCUCAAUUUAUUUAUUAAAAUUUUAUUUUUAAGUUAAAAAGCUUAAAUUUAUUUAAAAGACGAGAAGACCCUAUAGAGUUUUAUAUAAAUUAAAAUUUUAAUUUUUAGAAUUAUUUAAAUUUUAGUAAUUAUUUUAUUGGGGUGAUGUAUAAAUUUAAUAAACUUUAUAUUUUUAUUAACAUAAAUUUAUGAAUUUUUGAUCCAUUUUUUAUGAUUAUAAGAAUAAAUUACCUUAGGGAUAACAGCGUUAUUUUUUUUUAGAGUUCAAAUCGAAAAAAAAGAUUGCGACCUCGAUGUUGGAUUAAAAUUAAUUUUUGGUGUAGAAGCUAAAAAAUUAGGUCUGUUCGACCUUUAAAAUUUUACAUGAUCUGAGUUUAGACCGGCGUGAGCCAGGUUGGUUUCUAUCUUUAAAAAAAUUAAAUAUUUUAGUACGAAAGGACCAAAUAUUUUUAAUAUUUAAUAUAUUUAGAAUAU
This 612-nucleotide ribosomal RNA is filed under the name Hydraena pallidula. RNAcentral's name for it is "partial 16S ribosomal RNA". It matches the Rfam family "Bacterial large subunit ribosomal RNA", at positions 1819 to 2726 of the family's 2925-position model. Lineage: Eukaryota; Metazoa; Arthropoda; Insecta; Coleoptera; Hydraenidae. The record is from RNAcentral.